UCCUUAUGAGUAUGGCGGUGCCACCGUG
This 28-nucleotide non-coding RNA is filed under the name Drosophila melanogaster (fruit fly). The record is from RNAcentral. Lineage: Eukaryota; Metazoa; Arthropoda; Insecta; Diptera; Drosophilidae.